CCUACGGGUGGCAGCAGUGGGGAAUAUUGGGCAAUGGGCGCAAGCCUGACCCAGCAACGCCGCGUGAAGGAAGAAGGCUUUCGGGUUGUAAACUUCUUUUCUCAGGGACGAAGCAAGUGACGGUACCUGAGGAAUAAGCCCCGGCUAAAUACGUGCCAGCAGCCGCGGUAAUACGUAUGGGGCAAGCGUUAUCCGGAUUUACUGGGUGUAAAGGGAGCGUAGGCGGCAGGGCAAGCCUGAUGUGAAAGCCCGGGGCUCAACCCCGGGACUGCAUUGGGAACUGCCCCGCUCGAGUGCCGGAGGGGCAGGCGGAAUUCCUAGUGUAGCGGUGAAAUGCGUAGAUAUUAGGAGGAACACCAGUGGCGAAGGCGGCCUGCUGGACGGUGUACUGACGCUGAGGCUCGAAAGCGUGGGGAGCAAACAGGAUUAGAUACCCCUGUAGUC
This 444-nucleotide ribosomal RNA is filed under the name uncultured bacterium. Its description in RNAcentral is "partial 16S ribosomal RNA". It matches the Rfam family "Bacterial small subunit ribosomal RNA", at positions 338 to 795 of the family's 1533-position model. The record is from RNAcentral.